UUUACCUUUAAGGCUUUAACUACUCCAGAUUCUGGGGAUAGAGAACCUUUCAUUAAGUAAAGUUUAAUUUCAAGAUAGAGGAUCUAUUCAUGCACAACAGAAGAUAUUAAUAGAAAUAUUUAUGCAUAUUUUUAAGGUUUCUACUUUGCUAUCGCUGCAAAAGCCACAAUCAGUCUAUCAACUUGCAAGAGACAACAAAAAAGGAAUUUAGUAGCACAAUGAAUAGUGGACUUUCCAACCCCUCUAUCCCCCAGAAGACUUUGCAAUUAACCAACUGAAUUCUCAAUGCACACUGACUCAAGUAACUGGACAUAAACCUGAAUAAUCAGAAGCACCAGGAAAAUAAACAACAAAGACAGCCGAAAAAGCCUCAGAACAAGCAGACAGAGGAAUAUAAUGUCUUAUCGACUUCAGGAUUCCACUAAAAUCAGCUGAAUUUCAAGUUAUGCUAUUCAAUUAGCAUUCUGUGUUGUUGUCUUCUUGAAAUCAAUCUUGUCAACUUUGACUUCUCCAUCGAUGAGUUCAUAAACAUAGACCACAACACGCAGGGCAUCAAUGUCCAUUAGAACAAAGCUAGGGUUGACAUCAUAUGUGAUGCUACUGUAGGCACCAGUAGCAGAUCCUGGAUUUAUAACAACCCCUGCUUCAUGUUUGUAAGCUGUGAACUGAUGGGUGUGGCCAGUCACAAGUAUGUCUACAUCCAAUUGCCUUUGAAGCAUGGCUAAUGAGUCCAAGUCACCCCAUGGAAUAACCUGGAAUCAAUGUCCAUUAGAACAAAGCUAGGGUUAACAUCAUAUGUGAUGCUACUGUAGGCACCAGUAGCAGAUCCUGGAUUUAUAACAACCCCUGCUUCAUGUUUGUAGGCUGUGAACUGAUGGGUAUGGCCAGUCACAAGUAUGUCUACAUCCAAUUGCCUUUGAAGCAUGGCUAAU
This 932-nucleotide long non-coding RNA is filed under the name Nicotiana benthamiana. Its description in RNAcentral is "long non-coding RNA (NBEN_LNC039894)". The record is from RNAcentral. Lineage: Eukaryota; Viridiplantae; Streptophyta; Magnoliopsida; Solanales; Solanaceae.